UGUUCUCAGCUAUAGCGAUGCUUCUGCCUGUAACUUUGCAAGCAAAGAAACCACACCACGUGGCUCUGGUGAAGAGAUGAAGCCAUGCUCCAGCCACAGGCAAAUACCAUCAUCCUUCAUUGCAUCUUCCUGAGAGGUCCUCAGCAGUGAAGAGGUACUGCAGUGCAGCAUUUCCCUGGAUUAUUCUGCCACCCUUGUUGAACCAGAACAUCAAAGGUACAAAUCUUCUGCAAACUUCUGGCCUCAUUUCAGCCAGUUUAUGUGAUAUCUGAAGUACAUUCAGCAGCAAAUUGCACUGGAAGCUGUUCUUUUGUAUUUUCCAUUUAUGCAAUGCAAGUUGGUGUGAAUUUGAAUACAGAUCAGUGAUCUUUUCAGAGUUGCCAUAGGUAAUUAUAUGCAGACAUAGAAUGUCUUCCUCUAGAACAUAUCUAUGGAUGGUCUGCACACAAAACCAAAGCUUAAAUCCCACAGGAACAGCAGUGCUGCCUUUGAACUAAGCUCCAAAGUGCUGAAGGAAGGACAGACACACAGCAAAGGCUUUACUUUGGGUGGGCCAUUUCUAAAUGCAGUUUCCUUCUAUUUAAAAGUUUCAACUGAAUUGGUGCUGCCAGGUUGCAAACAAUUAUUGCCUUUUCCUGUAUUCAUGGCAGACUAAAUCCUACAACCCUCUGAAAGCACAGUCUGCACUUGUAAAUACACCUUUAAAGUGGACACUUUAUUCAACAAGGAAUAAAUAACCCUCAAGCAGGACAUUUCCUUUCCUUCUUUAUGCAAAGGCAACCAUUUAUUUUCUUCCACGAUGUAAGGCCAAGGGACUGCACUCCAGUCAGUAAAUUUGAUAGCAUAACAUAGCGAACAGGUAGCGCUGGCAAAAGAGAAGAAGCUGUUACUUCAGAUAAAUUAAUGUUAGUUUUAUAAAGGAGAUUGAGCUGUAUGAAGCACUAAGGUACGUAGAUCAAAAAAUACAUUAACUUGAGUAUGUACCAGUCUAGUUUCAGGGAUGAUUUGUGUGCCAUACACAAUCAGCUCUGAGAUUAAGAAAAAUAGGUUAGUUAUGUGGGUUGUGGUUAUCCAAGAAGUUGGAGGGUGUUUCUGUGAGACUGUCAGUAAAUUCCUGUGAAGACCUAUUCCUAAUUUAUUAAUUCAAAAUAGUGUCCUUGGCAAGGACCAUGUAUUCUUCAGUAUUUCCAGAGCUCCCUGGCGAUGAUGUUAAUAACAAAUACUUCUUUAACAUUACUUAUUUUUAGUAAAAGACAACACAAACUGUUCAUCCCCAGACAGGAAGAGUUAAUCAGAGUUUUAACAUCAAAGAGUGAAUUUUAUAAUCUCAGAGUUGCAUAUUAGACUCCUUCACUUUAAACUUGUAUUGGAAAGGGAUACUGGGUGCUUGCCAUACUUCUCAGAAUCAGACCCUGAGUAGAAGUCUUGAACUGUGUAUGCGGCAUUUGCUUUGGAAACCCUGUGUAUUCAUCAGAGAUUUUUAUCUGUUUUAAUAUUGAUGUCCUUAAAUGGAUUAAGCUGAAGACAGUAAAAACAUCCCAAUUCAAAUUCUUCAAGUAACUCCCUCUCUUUGUUUUCCCUUUGCUAUUAAACACAGAUAUAGAUAGAACAGGGGCAAAGAAAUUCAAGGUGGAAAUUUUGGCCUUUCAAAGAAGUUUAAAUUUUGGUUGCCUGCUAACUGUCCCACAUUCAAAGGACUGUGGGAACCACCAAGUUUUGGGGGCUGGAAAUCUCAAAUCUCCUUUUAGUAGGAAAAAGCACCACGUUCAGACCCCCUUUGCAUGGGAAGUUUGCUCUAGCCUUCAGUCUCCUGGGACAGGUAAGGAAAUGAUUUUGCAUGUGGCCC
Molecule: long non-coding RNA, 1846 nt
Organism: Neopsephotus bourkii (Bourke's parrot)
Lineage: Eukaryota; Metazoa; Chordata; Aves; Psittaciformes; Psittacidae
Exons: 3
Source: RefSeq, a predicted model, not a curated record